Molecule: long non-coding RNA, 572 nt
Filed under: Triticum aestivum (bread wheat)
Lineage: Eukaryota; Viridiplantae; Streptophyta; Magnoliopsida; Poales; Poaceae
Description: long non-coding RNA (TAES_LNC016906)
Source: RNAcentral
AGGAAUCAGGAAGUUCCAUUCGAUCCUGUCUUUUUCUUUACAAUCGAUCUUUAAUCUACUAAUGGUUGUUUUUUCUGUACGUACACACGCUCAUGCGACCUUACUCCCGUGGAGUUUCGAUCAAUCAAAAAAAAGAUACAAGACGAGGAGGACGGCGGCUUCAUCUUCUUCACAUCAAGCAGAGAGCACGAGUAACAGCGCCACUGUUUGCACGAGGGCCAUGGAAGCCGAGCUCCCGACAUGGCCAGUCCGCUGUCGCCUGUCUUCUUCGUCGCCAGCCGCCAAGGUCUCCAUGAAGUCGACUGCCACCUACCCGGCUUCACCAACCUCUGACGCGUCCAUCCACGCCAGAACCACACCUCCAGCGGCGUUCCCAAAUCCCGCCGUCGGCCUGAUGCUAAUGGUGCAGCAGUCCUCCCUUCCUGCUCCACAGAGACAUGAGCCUGGCUAGCAACGCGGAGCUUCUCGGCCCGAUCGUCCGCUCGACAGCGAUCUCCGUAGUGGAGGCUCCCCUCCUGCCGGCGUCGCAGGCACGCUGCACACUCCUCCCUCAUCAGCUUCUCCGACGUGGU